GCUGGCUAAUUUUCUCAGCUUCAGAAUUCCUCAGUCCUCAAAAUAGGACAUUUGUAACAAGAAUACAAGGGGACUAGACCCUACUCUCCCUCCACUUUGCUCCAGAACUUCUAACCCCAUCUGAGAAGCUCACUGGCAGAUGGCAUCCUUUGUGGCCAUGACAACUGGAGACCAAGCCCAGGCCUUUGCUCACGCUGGGCAAGCAUUCUUCUACUUGCUGCAUCUCCAGGCUGAUUUCAAGCCUGAAGAAGGUCAAGAGAAUUACAACUUCCUUAGACUUUGACUCCUGGGCCCUAUGAAGUGCUCCUCAUAUGGGUGACAGUUUUGGAACCUCUGAGACCGAGAGCUAAGUAAAGCUGAGUUGUCCUAACUCUGUUUCCUUUCACCACCGCACUGCUCACACCCACCCCGGCAGCCUCCC
This is a long non-coding RNA of Mus musculus (house mouse), 421 nucleotides long. RefSeq annotates it as predicted gene, 41665. The transcript is spliced from 4 exons. The record is from RefSeq and is a predicted model, not a curated record. Lineage: Eukaryota; Metazoa; Chordata; Mammalia; Rodentia; Muridae.